RNAcentral lists this long non-coding RNA (1187 nucleotides) under Homo sapiens (human). RNAcentral's name for it is "non-protein coding lnc-DIAPH3-12:1". The record is from RNAcentral. Lineage: Eukaryota; Metazoa; Chordata; Mammalia; Primates; Hominidae.
AUGGUGAGAGAACCCAGUUUCUGUUAUGCUUUGGGGGUAAAACUCAAUGCUGCUCAAAAAUAUUAUAAGAAAAAGGUUUAUAGGAAACUGGCAUUGAAGUACCACUCUCGUAAGAACCUGAAUGAAGGAGAUAAAUUUAGGCAGAUUUCUCCAGCUUGUCAAGUUCUCUCUGAUGCAAAGAAAAGCGAAUUGUAUGUCAAAGGAGGAAAGCCAGGUAAUUAAAGAGGGUGGAGCAGGUAGCGCUUCUGGCUCUCCUGUGGACAUCUUUGAUAUGAUUUUUGGAGGAGAAGGAGGAAGUAUGCAGAGGGAAAGGAAAGGUAAAAAUGUGUGUCAGCUGUCAAUAACCUUAGAAGAUUUAUAUAAAGGUGUGGCAAGAAAACUGGCUCUGCAAAUAAAACAAAAAAAAUGUGAUUUGUGACAAAUGUGAAGGUAGAAGUGGUAAGAAAGGAAUAGUAGAGGGCUGUCCCAAUUGCAUAGUUACUGGAAUGCAAAUAAGAAUUAAUCAGAUAGGACCUGGAAUGGUUUAGCAAAUUUAAUCCGUGGGCAUAGAGUGCUAGGGCCAUGGAGAACAAAUCAGUCCUGAAGAUAGAUAUAAAAGCUGCAAUGGAAGGAAGACAGAGAAAAAGAAGAUUGUACAAGUCCAUAUUGACAAAGGCGUGAAAGAUGGCCAGAAGGUAACGUUCCAUGGUGAAGCAGACCAAAGAACCAGGAUUGGAGCUAGGAGAUAUUAUUAUUGUGUUAGAUCAGAAGGAGCACACUGUUUUUAUUCAAUGAGGAGGAGAGCUUUUCAUGUGUAUGGACAUAUAGCUGGUUGAAGCAUUUUGUAGCUUCCACUCUUAAUGACUGAACUGUAGUCAUCACCUCUCAUCCAGGUCAGAUUGUCAGCAUGGAGAUAUCUUGGGUGUGCUAAGCGAAGGAAUGCCAAUUUAUGUAGCCCAUAUGAAGAGCUGCCAAAUUAUCUAAUCGAAGGUAAACUUUUCCUGAGAAUGGCUUUCCCUCAGCUGAUGAACUCUCUUGCUGAAAAAACUCCUACCUUAGAGGAAGAAAGUAGAAGAGACUGAUGAAAUGGAUCAGAUAGAACUGGUGGACUUCGAUCCAAAUGAGAAAAGAUGACAGCAUGACAAUGGAGAAGCAUAUGAGGAUUAUAAACAUCAUCCUAGAGGUGGUGUUCAGUGUCAAACCUCUUA